This 497-nucleotide ribosomal RNA is filed under the name uncultured bacterium. RNAcentral describes it as "partial 16S ribosomal RNA". It matches the Rfam family "Bacterial small subunit ribosomal RNA", at positions 28 to 507 of the family's 1533-position model. The record is from RNAcentral.
GAUGAACGCUGGCGGCGUGCCUAAUACAUGCAAGUCGAGCGAACGGACGAGAAGCUUGCUUCUCUGAUGUUAGCGGCGGACGGGUGAGUAACACGUGGAUAACCUACCUAUAAGACUGGGAUAACUUCGGGAAACCGGAGCUAAUACCGGAUGAUAUUUUGAACCGCAUGGUUCAAAAGUGAAAGACGGUCUUGCUGUCACUUAUAGCUGGAUCCGCGCUGCAUUAGCUAGUUGGUAAGGUAACGGCUUACCAAGGCAACGAUGCAUAGCCGACCUGAGAGGGUGAUCGGCCACACGGGAACUGAGACACGGUCCAGACUCCUACGGGAGGCAGCAGUAGCGAAUCUUCCGCAAUGGGCGAAAGCCUGACGGAGCAACGCCGCGUGAGUGAUGAAGGUCUUCGGAUCGUAAAAAUCUGUUAUUAGGGAAGAACAUAUGUGUAAGUAACUGUGCACAUCUUGACGGUACCUAAUCAGAAAGCCACGGCUAACUACGUG